Molecule: ribosomal RNA, 948 nt
Filed under: cf. Afrilobus sp. CASENT9037034
Lineage: Eukaryota; Metazoa; Arthropoda; Arachnida; Araneae; Orsolobidae
Description: partial 16S ribosomal RNA
Rfam family: Archaeal large subunit ribosomal RNA (bases 1-501)
Source: RNAcentral
AGUUUUUAGAAAUCAUUAAAAACAUAACCUGCUCAAUGAAUAUUUAAAUAGCCGCAGAAUUUCUUCUGUGCUAAGGUAGCAUAAUCAAUAGUCUUUUAAUUAAAGAAUAGAAUGAAUGGUCAAACGAAUUUCAAACUUAUUUAUUUAUAAAUUACUAAAUUAUUAAAUAAGUAAAAAACCUUAUACAAAAAAGAAAGACGACAAGACCCUAUCAAACUUUACUUAAGUUAUACUGGGGAAGUAAAUUAACAAAAUCUUAAUAUUUUAUCAAAAAAAUAACCUUAUUGAUUUAUAAAUAAGUUACUGUAGGGAUAACAGCAUAAUAAAUUUUUAAAGCUCGUAUUUACAAAUUAGUUUAUGACCUCGAUGUUGAAUUAAUUUCCUAUCUAAAGAAAAACCCUUUUAAGGAAGACUGUUCGUCUAUUAAAAAAUUACAUGAUUUGAGUUCAGACCGGUGUAAGCCAGGUCGGCUUCUAUCUUCUACAAAAAAAUUUUAGUACGAAAGGACCAAAUUUAAUUUACCUUCAAAAAUUGGCAGAUUAUUGCAUUAGAAUUAGAAUCUAAUUAUAACACUCAUUAAUUUUAUUAACUCUUUAAUUAUCCUAAUUUCAGUUUUAUUAAGAGUUGCUUUUUAUACCAUAUUAGAACGAAAAAUUCUUAGAUAUAUUCAAAAUCGGAAAGGUCCUAAUAAAGUAGGAUUAAUAGGCCUUCUUCAGCCUUUUAGAGAUGCUUUAAAAUUAUUUAAUAAAUCUUAUGCCUUUCCUAUUUCCACUAAUUUAAAAUUAGCUUUAAAUUUUCCUGCAUUUAGAUUUUUCCUAGCUAUUAUCUUAUGACCUUUAUUACCUAUAGCAAAUUUCAAUAUUUGUGACUGUUCCCUUAAUAUGCUUAUUUUACUAAUUAUCUCUAGUAUAAGAAUUUAUUCAUUAUUAAUAAUUGGUUGAGCAGCAA